Molecule: unclassified non-coding RNA, 95 nt
Organism: Urocitellus parryii (Arctic ground squirrel)
Lineage: Eukaryota; Metazoa; Chordata; Mammalia; Rodentia; Sciuridae
Source: Ensembl
UGUCCACACAUCCGGAUUUACCUAAACCCCACCCCACCCAGUCUGCAUCUGCAUAGCAAUGAAAAACCGGUAUUUUCUACCUGUGAAUCACACUC